GUAACAACAGGGAAUAUAGGAUAACCUACCCUGAGGACCAGGAGAUGGAGCAUUCCCAGGCCACAGAAGCAUAAGUGCAGGCACCAAGGGCUGCUCUAACCUGCUCUGGCUUUCAAAGUGGCUUCUGCCAAACAGCUAGGAUAUAGUGGCCAAACCCUUGGGAAAAAAAAUAACUGCAGCCUCCCUAAGCAGCAGGACAAGGAAGCAGGGGCUGGCGUGGCAGGGGGAAGGCAGGGCAGAAGAAGAGGGCUAAAUGCUGUGGUAUUCAGGGCAGGCUGGGAGAGAGCUCAGCGAUAUGGCCCAGCCCAUUCUGAUCAGGAAGGUCACAGCCCUAGAAAAAGGUGAGCAACACUUACUUGGUCUUGGAGAUGACCCAGUAUAGCCAUAACCCUCCCUCCAGAGCCUUCAGCUCUUGAGUAGGAAAGGGGAAUGGUGAUUCCCGGACCUGUCAGCUAUGGAAUCCAGGCAAAACAGUGACAUCCUUUCUUGGAAUCACCCCCUCAAUAAAAGGAGUGGGCUUUUAAGACCCUUACGCUGGGCAUGGUAGUGCUUGCCUACAAUCCCAAGCACAGGCCAGCCUCAGCUACGUAAGACGUUCAAGGCCAGCCUAGGGUACACGACAACCUGUCUCAAAUUAUACAAAACCAAAUCUAUACUUAAGUCUGAGGACAAAGAAUGAGAGAAGAGCAAGCCAGGAUCAGGGAAGCAGAGAGGUGGACUCUGGACACAUUUCAGUUGGAGAGGACUGAGGAAACUCAGACCUCACAGAACCUGGGACCAUGAGAAAUGGUUGGGGAGGCCUCAGUAGAGGUGAGUGAGAUGGAAUACAAAUAUUGGGAAGUAUAUGUUCUCCAGACUCUAGUAACAGCUCCCUCUGAACAAAACCAGACCCUCUUCCCAGGGGAUCUCACAAGGCCCAGAGGCAGGACCUUGGAAGCACAACUAGGGUUGCCCAAAAAGCUCCUCCAAAGGGCUAGGUGUUCCUAGUGGCCUGCUAAUACCAGUCAUUAAACAGAGCCCAAGGAUCAGAGGAAGGAAUGCCAACAAGAUGACCAAGCCAGCAGAGAGAAGAAGCAAGAAAGGACACAGGGAAGAGCCAACACUGACACGCUCUGGCAACAAGAGACCUUAAAUCCACGAGGCCAGAACAGGAUGUCAGAGAGCAACAUGAGCUCUCCAAAACUCAAAGGUUUAAUGAAAUUGAGGCUCAGAAGUGAGUACAGUUGCGUCAGGCCUUCCAAGGGUUGCAAGUCAAGAGGCCAGAGCGAAGCCUGUGAAGCGAGGGCACAGUCCGCACUCAAUCCCCAUAGCUCCCUACUCUGAUUCUGUGUCAGCCCACCCAGAGAGGAAAGCAUGGGCAAUCACACACUCCCUGCUCCUGUAAUGGAUCCUGUACCAGGAGAAAAACUGGCUGUGGCAACUGACAUCAGGAACAGAAAAAAUCCAUUCAAGUAUGGUUAACAGCCCAGUUGCAUCCUGUAAGAGAAAACCACGUUUUAAAGCAAGAGCUCAGGACUAAGGGAUAACCCUGCAGAUUACUCGCAACUGCCGAAGACAGCAACCUAAGCAAGCUUGAAUCAACCUGGGAAACCUGUGGGAAAGCUUUCACGUGAAAAUCGGCACAAAGACAACAGAGCUCCCUCUAGCUGGAGGGUGGAAGCGUGAGGGAAGCAGGGCUGGAGCCAGUACACAGGGAAAGCAGCUCUCUCUGAAAGGCUUUUUCACGUGAGUCACAGAACACAGGCAGGUGAGCAGGAAGAGCCUGCCUAGAGACAAUGGCUGUGGCAGAAUUCCAGGCAACCUUAGUUCAGGCGGCCCAGAGGCUGCCUACAGGGUGUUGGGUGGGUGUGGCAGAUGAGAAUGGUGACAAAAAAUGUGGGCACAACUGCAUUGGCAGUUGCAGAGACCUGGCAGGACCCAACUGAACAAGAGAGAGGAGGAUUCCCUCACACCCACGUGGAGGGAGCCCAGAUUCGGGUGAAGGAAAUGUUCCUGCCCCUGGGGGGUGGGCCCCUUUGCUCAGGCAUAGAGCAGCCUGACCUCACCUUGUGAUAAACCUCUGGUGGGGAAGUAACCAGGGUGGGGCAGAAGGAGGUGACACCGUGGGACAGGAUCCUCCGGGCCACUAGGGCGACCCCAGAACCCACGUCCUCCGUAGCCCUGGAGAAGUCAACACCAAAUCCACCUGUGG
Molecule: long non-coding RNA, 2191 nt
Organism: Meriones unguiculatus (Mongolian gerbil)
Lineage: Eukaryota; Metazoa; Chordata; Mammalia; Rodentia; Muridae
Exons: 2
Source: RefSeq, a predicted model, not a curated record